This 866-nucleotide long non-coding RNA is filed under the name Podarcis muralis (Common wall lizard). Its description in RNAcentral is "lncRNA (ENSPMRG00000006969.1)". Lineage: Eukaryota; Metazoa; Chordata; Lepidosauria; Squamata; Lacertidae. The record is from RNAcentral.
AACCUUUUUCACCCUUGACUCUGUUCACAAGAAUGGCUUUUUUAAAAAAAUAACAACAAUACAACCACCACCAUCUUACUGAUUUUAAUAAUACACUUAUUAAUAAUACAUUCAGUCCCACAUAAAGUAGAAUUUAUUUUUUUUAGAUGUUAUUGUGUUAUAAAAAGUUAACAUUAAACUCCACAAUGAAUAUACUAAAGGAAAAUUCAUGAUGAGAGAUACUUGUGAAUUUUCUGUGUAGAAAGACAACAUAAAAUAAAUAAGAAUACGUUGAAUAUCUUCUCUGUCUGAAGCUAAAAAGGACUAGGCCUCACCAGAAGCUGGAUGAGAAAUUUGCUGGGAACUCGCACUGUACUGAGCCCCUAGGAGGAAAGGCAGAACACUAAUGUAACAAAUAAGUGAAAUACUACCCCACUGGAAAAACAAUAACAAAUUUCCAUUAAUCUUAAUAGAGUCAGAAUUGUGUCUCUUAUCAGUUUUGCUAUGUAGAUAUAGGAUUAAGUUUUCAAAAAGGCCCUAGGAUAACAGAGUAUUCUGUCUUUAUCCCUUCUGGCUGUGCUAGGGUAAUCCAGGACUGAUAGCAUGAGUGAAUGAUACCCCCUCGUCAACAAAAGCUGUACUGUGUUUCCAUCUGUGGCAAUUUGGCACUUCUCUUUGAGGCUGAAAGCAGCACAGAAAAGAAGUGUUAGGAAUUGCUUUUACCCCCUUUGGUAUCCGACGAAGAAAGGUAACAUUAACUUGAAUAUUGAAAAUAAUUAAGAAGUUAUUAAAACUUCUAAAUGCUGUGUGGUUGUUAUAAUGCUGUUAGGGUUUGUUUGUUUGUUUGUUUGUUUGUUUGUUUGUUUUUUAAAAAGACUGUGUGUAUU